This 372-nucleotide ribosomal RNA is filed under the name Paecilaema inerme. Its description in RNAcentral is "partial small subunit ribosomal RNA". Lineage: Eukaryota; Metazoa; Arthropoda; Arachnida; Opiliones; Cosmetidae. The record is from RNAcentral.
GAUUAGAUACCCUAGUAUAAAAAUUUAAUAGAAUUAUUAUAUGUAAGGAAAUUUAAAAUUUUUGGCGGUUAAUUAUUAAUUAGAGGAGUUUGUUUUGUAGAAUUUACUCUUUAUAUUUUAUUAAUUAUUGUUUAUUUAUCUCCGUUAUAAGAUGAAAAUUUUAGAAGUUUUUGCUUGUACUUCAGGUCAAGAUGUAGCAAAUAUUAAAUGAAAUUAACUACAUUAAUGUAAUUAUGAAUUUAUUAAUUAAAGAGUAGUAAUGAAAUUGGAUUUAAUUGUAAUUAGAUUCAGAAAAAUUAAAUGAAUAUUUAUAAUUAAUGUACAUAUUGCCCGUCACUUCUUUUGAUAAAAAGAAUAAGUCGUAACAAAGUA